CACUCAAACUCAGGCCAGUCAAAUUAAUUUUCACGUAGUCAAUUAAUUUUAUGGCAACUACGUGUUUUAUUCGCAAAUGAAGUCAUUAAGGGGCAUUUCUUAAUCAAAUCGAAGUAAAUUUACGAGUCAAUAAAACUAAUUUAUGCACUAAAGCCACAAAUCAGCCUAUCCACAAACAUAUAUCAGGCAUAUCAGCUGUCAUAAAUAUUGAGGACAACCAAAAUCCCGCGAAAUAACAAUAAUAAAAAUAAACUAAAAUAACACGACCAAACAAAAAAAGAAAAACAAUUUAAAUCAUCAACAAGCAAAUCUAGAAUAAAGCCGGAAACAAUUCGCUCUACCAUAGACAUAAACAAGCCUGAAUUACAAUUUUUUUUCUUACCACACGUGCGUGCAACGGGCCAGAACGGCGCACGCCUUCUGCCACAUGCCACGCCCUGUAGCUGCGCCUCUGCCCAAGCGAAUGGGACACGGCUAACAAGUUGCGCCAAUUAACAAAGCAGCCGAAAAGCAAAGCGAAAACAUAAUCAAAGUGGCCGAAAACAGGACGAGGACAAAAGGCUGUACGCAUCGAAGUGCCCAUAAGCUGAGAGGGUGUGGGUGAGGGCAGGGCAGCGAAGAAGGGAGGGACAGCUAAGCUUUGGCUAGAAUAACAAGACGCAAAUGGCCGAUUCCUUUGGUGGCGUGUCAGGCAAACAUAUAAUAUGGCAACAGGAUAAGAAUCUGUCCAUUCGAGCGAGCUCAUUUUCAUGCAAGAGCCCAAAUGAGGAAUUAUGAAUGCCCAAACCCGUUAAGGAUAAGAGGUUGCCCCCAAAGCUGCCGCCAGCUCUGUUUAGUGGCCAAGAUUGGCAUCUUUGUUCCACUAAUUGUUAGUUAUGACUGUUUUCUUCUUCAGCCUCCCAAUGCCGUUAGGCGACAGCCUGUGUCUUCGGGGCACGAGAUGCUUCCCGCCAUCUGUGCGCAGCUAUGCAGCCAGAUAAAUCACUUUGGAGCACAGAUCUCCUUGGGCUGGCUCCACUUUUGACGCCAUUACCAGCAAUUGUUAAUCUGAUUACCACGAUACAUAUAGAACUUACAGAAACACCAAAACUUUGCAGUGAGUGAGCAAGACUUCAGACUAAACUUACCAGAAGACAUAUUAUGUGAAACAAUUUAUCUAAUAUUGGGAAAAAAAUCAAAUUAUAUUUGCGAUAAGUGUGAUUUUAGUACGAAAUCCUAUUUUAUACUAAAAUGUUUUCUAUUUUCUAGCAAAAUCAACAUCGCCUGCGAAUGAAACAGUCAAUAAUUCCCAGAUGAACCUUUCAUGCUUGUUCAAUCACACAAAAGGUAUAGAUUGAUUGGGUGAGCUUUAAUUUCUGAAGAAUAACUCAACAUCAACUCCGGUCCACGCAAGCACUGGCCUCCACUGCCUCCAGCUGCUGCUGCACCGAUAUGAAACCUUUCUUUUGGUCGUGCUCAGCAUGAAUCGAAAGAGAUUGGUUAAUUUAGGAAUCUUCAAUCAAUCCUAUUAUUUUCGGACAAACCCCAAAAGGCACAUUUAUCCGGCAUCGACCUUCAUUUGCCCGAGAAAUAUGCAUUUAAUAAUGCAUAUACCAAAUAUUUAAGUCACACAUAAGACCAAAUAAGCAACAAUUAUUAUAAGUUUUAUUAUUUUUGUAUAGUUGAAAGAUUUGUCAAAAUUUAUAGUUACUAAUUUUAUAUUUAUGUAAAUA
Drosophila virilis is the source of this 1712-nucleotide non-coding RNA. Lineage: Eukaryota; Metazoa; Arthropoda; Insecta; Diptera; Drosophilidae. The record is from RefSeq and is a predicted model, not a curated record.